UACAGAGGGUGCGAGCGUUAAUCGGAGUUACUGGGCGUAAAGGGCGCGUAGGCGGUGAUGCAAGUGAGGUGUGAAAUCCCUGGGCUUAACCUAGGAAUUGCACUUCAAACUGCGUUGCUAGAGUGCAGUAGAGGGUGGUGGAAUUUCCGGUGUAGCGGUGAAAUGCGUAGAGAUCGGAAGGAACAUCAGUGGCGAAGGCGGCCACCUGGACUGUAACUGACGCUGAGGCGCGAGAGCGUGGGGAGCAAACAGG
Molecule: ribosomal RNA, 253 nt
Filed under: uncultured bacterium
Lineage: Bacteria
Description: partial 16S ribosomal RNA
Rfam family: Bacterial small subunit ribosomal RNA
Source: RNAcentral